GUCUUUUUGAGUUUAAUUUAAAGUCUAAUCUGCCCACUGAUAAUAUUUAAGGGCCGCAGUAUUCUGACUGUGCAAAGGUAGCAUAAUCAUUAGUCUUUUAAUUGAGGGCUUGUAUGAAUGAUUGGACGAGAUAUAAUCUGUCUCAUAAAAAUUUAGGUAGAAUUUUAUUUUUUAGUUAAAAAGCUAAAAUAAAUUUAAAAGACGAGAAGACCCUAUAGAUCUUUAUAAUUUAUUUAUUAAUUUUUUUAGGUUAUUUUUUAAUUUUAUAAAUUAAAUUAUUUUGUUGGGGUGACAAUGAAAUUUACAAAACUUUCAUAUUUUUUAUACAUUGAUUUAUGAUAAAUUGAUCCAUUUUUAGUGAUUAAAAAUUUAAGUUACCUUACGGAUAACAGCGUAAUUAUUUUGGAGAGUUCUUAUCGAUAAAAUAGUUUGCGACCUCGAUGUUGGAUUAAGAUUAAUUCUGGGUGUAGCAGUUCAGAUUAUUAAGUCUGUUCGACUUUUAAUUUCUU
Molecule: ribosomal RNA, 509 nt
Filed under: Gymnopternus blankaartensis
Lineage: Eukaryota; Metazoa; Arthropoda; Insecta; Diptera; Dolichopodidae
Description: partial 16S ribosomal RNA
Rfam family: Bacterial large subunit ribosomal RNA
Source: RNAcentral